RNAcentral lists this ribosomal RNA (798 nucleotides) under uncultured bacterium. Its description in RNAcentral is "bacterial SSU rRNA". It matches the Rfam family "Bacterial small subunit ribosomal RNA", at positions 8 to 796 of the family's 1533-position model. The record is from RNAcentral.
AGAGUUUGAUCAUGGCUCAGAUUGAACGCUGGCGGCAUGCCUUACACAUGCAAGUCGAACGCGAAAGUGGGGGCAACCCUGCGAGUAGAGUGGCGAACGGGUGAGUAAUACAUCGGAACGUACCCAGGAGUGGGGGGACAACCUCGAGAAAUCGAGGCUAAUACCGCAUACGUCCUGAGGGAGAAAGCGGGGGAUUCGCAAGGACCUCGCGCUCAUGGAGCGGCCGAUGUCGGAUUAGCUAGUUGGCGGGGUAAAGGCCCACCAAGGCUACGAUCCGUAGCUGGUUUGAGAGAACGACCAGCCACACUGGGACUGAGACACGGCCCAGACUCCUACGGGAGGCAGCAGUGGGGAAUUUUGGACAAUGGGGGAAACCCUGAUCCAGCCAUGCCGCGUGAGUGAAGAAGGCCUUCGGGUUGUAAAGCUCUUUCGGCCGGAACGAAAUCGCGUACGUGAAUAACGUGCGUGGAUGACGGUACUGGAAGAAGAAGCACCGGCUAACUACGUGCCAGCAGCCGCGGUAAUACGUAGGGUGCGAGCGUUAAUCGGAAUUACUGGGCGUAAAGCGUGCGUAGGCGGUUUUGUAAGUCAGAUGUGAAAUCCCCGGGCUUAACCUGGGAACUGCGUUUGAGACUACAGAGCUAGAGUGUGGCAGAGGGGGGGUGGAAUUCCACGUGUAGCAGUGAAAUGCGUAGAUAUGUGGAGGAACACCGAUGGCGAAGGCAACCCCCUGGGCCAACACUGACGCUGAGGCACGAAAGCGUGGGGAGCAAACAGGAUUAGAUACCCUAGUAGUCC